AUCAUAUGUGCCAACGGAGUUGCCCAUGUGUUUGAUCAGAUCCUACUGGGUGGUCCGAUUCAGUCGGACCUUCUAUCAUCUAUUGGCAUACUCGUUGCUCUACUGAUCGUAAAGGGCCUCCUAUACAUCUGCCCGCAUCUAGUGAUCCCUGUAGGACUUUCAAUCCGAUGGUAACUGAAAAUCAGAAUGCUUGAUGGUGGACUAUCUUAGGCUACAUAGUCCAUCUCAAAACUUACGUGUGGCUACU
RNAcentral lists this long non-coding RNA (247 nucleotides) under Elaeis guineensis (African oil palm). Its description in RNAcentral is "long non-coding RNA (EGUI_LNC016719)". Lineage: Eukaryota; Viridiplantae; Streptophyta; Magnoliopsida; Arecales; Arecaceae. The record is from RNAcentral.